AGGUAGCACAAUCACUUGUUCUUUAAAUAAGGACUAGUAUGAACGGCACCACGAAGACCAUGCUGUCUCCUUUUUCUAAUCAGUGAAACUGAUCUCCCCGUGAAGAAGCGGGGAUUAUCCUAUAAGACGAGAAGACCCUAUGAAGCUUAAAAUUUAUAUCAACUGCCACCCAUACACCACCUCAACCUGACAGACCUGAUUAUCAAUUUUUGGUUGGGGUGACCGCGGAGCAAAAUUAAACCUCCACAAUGAAAGGAUCAACCUCCUAAUUCAAGAAUUACACUUCUAAAAAUCAACAUAUUGACAUAAAUUGAUCCAAACCUUUGAUCAAUGAACCAAGUUACUCUAGGGAUAACAGCGCAAUCCAUUUCAAGAGCCCUAUCNA
Molecule: ribosomal RNA, 385 nt
Filed under: Arthroleptis xenodactyloides (Chirinda screeching frog)
Lineage: Eukaryota; Metazoa; Chordata; Amphibia; Anura; Arthroleptidae
Description: partial large subunit ribosomal RNA
Rfam family: Bacterial large subunit ribosomal RNA
Source: RNAcentral